AACGAACGCUGGCGGCAUGCCUAACACAUGCAAGUCGAACGAGACCUUCGGGUCUAGUGGCGCACGGGUGCGUAACGCGUGGGAACCUGCCCUUAGGUUCGGAAUAACUCCCCGAAAGGGGUGCUAAUACCGGAUAAUGUCUUCGGACCAAAGAUUUAUCGCCUUUGGAUGGGCCCGCGUUGGAUUAGCUAGUUGGUAGGGUAAAAGCCUACCAAGGCGACGAUCCAUAGCUGGUCUGAGAGGAUGAUCAGCCACACUGGGACUGAGACACGGCCCAGACUCCUACGGGAGGCAGCAGUGGGGAAUAUUGGACAAUGGGCGAAAGACUGAUCCAGCAAUGCCGCGUGAGUGAUGAAGGCCUUAGGGUUGUAAAGCUCUUUUACCUGGGAUGAUAAUGACAGUACCGGGAGAAUAAGCUCCGGCUAACUCCGUG
RNAcentral lists this ribosomal RNA (433 nucleotides) under uncultured bacterium. Its description in RNAcentral is "partial 16S ribosomal RNA". It matches the Rfam family "Bacterial small subunit ribosomal RNA", at positions 29 to 507 of the family's 1533-position model. The record is from RNAcentral.